UGGUGGCGAUAGCGAAGAGGUCACACCCGUUCCCAUGCCGAACACGGAAGUUAAGCUCUUCAGCGCCGAUGGUAGUCGGGGGUUUCCCCUUGUGAGAGUAGGACGCCGCCA
RNAcentral lists this ribosomal RNA (111 nucleotides) under Bacillus amyloliquefaciens. Lineage: Bacteria; Bacillati; Bacillota; Bacilli; Caryophanales; Bacillaceae. The record is from RNAcentral.